AAAUUGAAGAGUUUGAUCAUGGCUCAGAUUGAACGCUGGCGGCAGGCCUAACACAUGCAAGUCGAACGGUAACAGGAAGCAGCUUGCUGCUUUGCUGACGAGUGGCGGACGGGUGAGUAAUGUCUGGGAAACUGCCUGAUGGAGGGGGAUAACUACUGGAAACGGUAGCUAAUACCGCAUAACGUCGCAAGACCAAAGAGGGGGACCUUCGGGCCUCUUGCCAUCGGAUGUGCCCAGAUGGGAUUAGCUAGUAGGUGGGGUAAAGGCUCACCUAGGCGACGAUCCCUAGCUGGUCUGAGAGGAUGACCAGCCACACUGG
RNAcentral lists this ribosomal RNA (319 nucleotides) under Escherichia coli. Its description in RNAcentral is "bacterial SSU rRNA". It matches the Rfam family "Bacterial small subunit ribosomal RNA", at positions 1 to 316 of the family's 1533-position model. The record is from RNAcentral. Lineage: Bacteria; Pseudomonadati; Pseudomonadota; Gammaproteobacteria; Enterobacterales; Enterobacteriaceae.